This 253-nucleotide ribosomal RNA is filed under the name uncultured bacterium. Its description in RNAcentral is "partial 16S ribosomal RNA". It matches the Rfam family "Bacterial small subunit ribosomal RNA", at positions 524 to 776 of the family's 1533-position model. The record is from RNAcentral.
UACGUACCGUCCAAACGUUAUUCGGAAUUACUGGGCUUAAAGGGUUUGUAGGCGGCGCUGUUAGUCGGGUGUGAAAUCCCAGGGCUCAACCCUGGAACUGCGCCCGAUACUGCAGUGCUUGAGGGAGACAGAGGUAAGCGGAACUGAUGGUGGAGCGGUGAAAUGCGUUGAUAUCAUCAGGAACACCGGUGGCGAAAGCGGCUUACUGGGUCUCUUCUGACGUUGAGAAACGAAAGCUAGGGGAGCGAAGGGG